This 372-nucleotide ribosomal RNA is filed under the name uncultured bacterium. RNAcentral describes it as "bacterial SSU rRNA". It matches the Rfam family "Bacterial small subunit ribosomal RNA", at positions 29 to 417 of the family's 1533-position model. The record is from RNAcentral.
AAUGAACGUUGGCGGCGUGGAUUAGGCAUGCAAGUCGCGCGACAAGGAACCUUCGGGUUCUGGAGGAGCGGCAAACGGGGUAGUAAGGCAUCGGAACGUACCCUCUUGUUGGGAAUAGCCGCGGGAAACUGCGAGUAAUGCCCAAUAAUCCCUACGGGGCAAAGGUCCGCCGCAGGAGGAGCGGCCGAUGUGAUACCAGCUAGUUGGUGAGGUAAUGGCUCACCAAGGCUUAGACGUCUAGGGGGUGUGAGAGCAUGGCCCCCACCACUGGGACUGAGAUACUGCCCAGACUCCUACGGGAGGCAGCAGUGGGGAAUUUUGGACAAUGGGCGCAAGCCUGAUCCAGCCAUGCCGCGUGCGGGACGAAGGCCU